GUUGUGGGAAACCGCGCUGGACGCUGAGAAUGUGCGGAAGGAUCCUGAGGGGAGGACGCGAGACAGCGCGAGGAGAGACGAGGAGAGUUAGGGUUGGCCGGGAGGGUGCGAAGAUGAAGCGACCACUGGAGGCUGUGAGGGUGAAAGGAGCAAGAAUCGUCUAGAGACGGGCUGGGCCGGUGCUGGGGCCAAAGGCUUCUGUCUGUCAGGCCCUUUUUGGCGCUCACUCUAGAAAGAAGAGGCGGAGACGCGAAGAGAUCGGGUUAGAGUCAGAUUUUCGAAGCACGGAGAUGGGUUCAAUGAAAGGACGAGGAAAGACGAGAAACCAGCGGCCGGAGAACGGAGAGUUCAACAAUUUUUAUGAAUUUCUAAUCCAACCUCAUCAUCCUAUGGGAAACAGAAGACCACCAAGAACAGCCAGCUGAUGGAAUCUCAUUCUGUCACCAGGCUGAAGUGCAGUGACGUGAUCUUGGCUCACUGCAACCUCCACCUCCUGGGUUCAAGCGAUUCUCCUGCCUCAGCCUCCUGAGUAGCUGGGAUUACAGGUAUCUUGGCAGUAACCUCCUCCAUAUAUUUCCUUGGCCCUCAGCUUACAUCUAGCAAAAUGACUCUACUGGUUCCAGGCUUCACAUGCAUACAACAUGGUGUUGGAGGAACAGAGAUGUUUUCUCUUCCUGGUGUUUUCCCAGACAUUUCUUAGCUGGCAUUUCAAACAAGGGUCCUGAAAUUCACCCUGGUUGGGUCGUGUUCUCCCCUUCCCAUUCCCCAUCCCCACCCUCAACCGAAAAAUGAUGUAAGCAGGGGAAAUUGAAUGUACCAAUGUUUGUUUUUAAACAAGCCACAGACCCCUCCCCAACUCCCCGACUGAAGCUUGAAGUGGGAUCAGCUUUCCCUAAAGUACUUGAGCUUAUGGUAAAGCAUAUAUGUUAUCCAAGUUAAAGUCUGGACGCUGUUAGUAAUGGGAAGGCAAGUAAUGAAUGUUAGCUAUGGAGCCAACAGACAGUGUCCACUCCAUUGUCUUUAAGGCCCAACUAAAGAUAACCUCUUUACCAAUGUCGGUUUAUUUAUUCAUUUAUUUAUUCAUUGAGAUGGAGUCUCACUCUCUCACCCAAGCUGGAGUGCAGUGGAAUGAUCUCAGCUGACUGCAAUUUCUGCCUCCCAGGUUCAAGCAAUCUCCUGCUUCAGCCUCCCAAGUAGCUGGGAUUACAGGCGCACACCACCAUGCCCGGCUAAUUUUUGUAUUUUUAGUAGAGAUAGGGUUUCACCAUGUUGGCCAAGCUGGUCUCGGACACCUGACCUCAAGUGAUCUGCCUGCCUCGGCCCCCAAAGGUGUGAGCCACUGCACCUGGCUACAAUGUCAGUUUCUAUAAAAACUGCCUUGACUUGUUUUGUUUGCUUGUUUUGUUUGUUUGUGUUUUAAUUUUUAUUAUUUUUUUUUAGAGACAGGGUCUCAAUCUGUUGUCUAGGCUUGAGUGCAGUGGUGCAAUCAUAGCUCACUGAAGUGUUGGACUCCCAGGCUCAAGCAGUCCUCCCACCUCAGCCUCCCAAGUAGCUGAGACUACAGGCAUGCACCACCCUGUCUGGCUAAUUUUUUAUUUUUAGUAGAGAUGAGGUCUCACUAUGUUGCCCAAGGUGGCCUCAAACUCCUGGCCUCAAGUACUCCUGUGGCCUUAGCCUCCCAAAGCUCUGGGAUUGCAGGUAUGAGCCGCCAUGCCUGGCCUACUGUAUAUUUUAUGCAUUUGAUAUAAGUCUUGCCUCCCUAAGUAUAUUACAAGUCCCUUGAAGUUAAAGACAUUAGAUUCCUACUCAGUGCUGAGCUGCAACAGAGAGCACUCAAUGAUGGAUAAAAUAGUUUUAGCAUGCAUUCAGCGAUAUAUAUUUAGAAAGUGGAACUAGGUGGUUGAAAAAAGUGUAUAGAUGGGUGGAAGGGAAUAUUACAGCUCUUAGAAUUGUCCUAAGGUGAGAGUAACAAAUUAAGCAAUGAGUCCCUGGGUUCACUCAAGCAACUUCACUCUCUAAAACAAGAGCCCACAGAAUCCCAUUUCUGCUUUCAGAAUGAGUUUGAGGCCAAUAUUAUUUCCAUUUUUUUUCUUUUUCUUUCUUUCUUUUUUUUUUUUUUUUUUUUGAGACGGAGUUUCACUCUUGUUGCCCAGGCUGUUUUGAUCUCGGCUCACUGCAACCUCUGCCCCUGGGUUCAAGCGAUUCUCCUGUCUCAACCUCCCAAGCUGGGAUUACAAGCAUGCGCUACCACACCUGGCUAAUUUUGUAUUUUUAAUAGAGACGGGGUUUCUCUGUGUUGGUCAGGCUGGUCUCAAACUCCCAACCUCAGGUGAUCUGCCCACCUUGGCCCAGCCUCCAAUAUGAUUUUCUAAUAGCUGUGUUUGAUGAUUAUAUUUAUUCCUCCAUCAGUAGCUUUUUUAGCCUUGAAAAUAUCUAUUUAAGUUUCUUAUUUCCUUUGGAUCUAUCAAAGUGUUUUUCCCCAAGUGGCACCUGGGAAAACAUAUUCUAUUCAUUUAUUUUAUAACUGUUCCCUUGACCUCUUUAUUGCUUCCCUAUUACAACCCAAGAUGCUCUUGUAAACCUGACUUAAUAUUGGCAGUCUUCAUCCCUUGCAAAUGGAAGUGAUGACAGACCCAAUACUUUGUGUAAAAAUAUUUUGCUAUUUCUAUACAAAAUAUUUUAUUAAUGGAAACCACAUGUUAUGUAUUUUACAUAUGUUAUGACUUGAAAUUUAUGUUAUGACUUGAAAUUGGGGAAUCUGAUAUGUCUCUAAUAAUAAAG
This 2781-nucleotide long non-coding RNA is filed under the name Homo sapiens (human). RNAcentral's name for it is "uncharacterized LOC105375690, transcript variant 10 (LOC105375690)". The record is from RNAcentral. Lineage: Eukaryota; Metazoa; Chordata; Mammalia; Primates; Hominidae.